GUAAUUAUAGUUUAACAAAAACAUUAGAUUGUGGUUCUAAAAAUAAAAGUUAAACUCUUUUUAAUUACCC
RNAcentral lists this transfer RNA (70 nucleotides) under Urogymnus granulatus (mangrove whipray). RNAcentral describes it as "tRNA-His". It matches the Rfam family "tRNA". From Rfam's summary of the family: Transfer RNA (tRNA) molecules are approximately 80 nucleotides in length. Lineage: Eukaryota; Metazoa; Chordata; Chondrichthyes; Myliobatiformes; Dasyatidae. The record is from RNAcentral.